AAGAAAGCUUGCUUUCUUUGCUGGCGACCGGCGCACGGGUGAGUAACACGUAUCCAACCUACCCUUUACUCGGGGAUAGCCUUUCGAAAGAAAGAUUAAUACCCGAUAGCAUAAUGAUUCCGCAUGGUUUCAUUAUUAAAGGAUUCCGGUAAAGGAUGGGGAUGCGUUCCAUUAGGUUGUUGGUGGGGUAACGGCCCACCAAGCCUUCGAUGGAUAGGGGGUUCUGAGAGGAAGGUCCCCCCACAUUGGAACUGAGACACGGUCCAAACUCCUACGGGAGGCAGCAUG
RNAcentral lists this ribosomal RNA (288 nucleotides) under uncultured bacterium. RNAcentral's name for it is "partial 16S ribosomal RNA". It matches the Rfam family "Bacterial small subunit ribosomal RNA", at positions 72 to 353 of the family's 1533-position model. The record is from RNAcentral.